This is a non-coding RNA of Podarcis lilfordi (Lilford's wall lizard), 90 nucleotides long. The record is from the annotation of a GenBank genome assembly. Lineage: Eukaryota; Metazoa; Chordata; Lepidosauria; Squamata; Lacertidae.
GUACUCAGCUUCACGAUCUGUCCUUCCAGUGAGCACUUAAGGAAAUCAGCCCUGAGUGCUCACUGGAAGGACGGAUUGUGAAGCUGAGGC